RNAcentral lists this ribosomal RNA (422 nucleotides) under Planctomycetales bacterium. Its description in RNAcentral is "partial 23S ribosomal RNA". It matches the Rfam family "Bacterial large subunit ribosomal RNA", at positions 1 to 476 of the family's 2925-position model. The record is from RNAcentral. Lineage: Bacteria; Pseudomonadati; Planctomycetota; Planctomycetia; Planctomycetales.
GGCCAAGUUACGAAGGGCGUAUGGGGGAUGUCUUGGCAUCAGGAGGCUAUGAUGGGCGUGGAAGUCUGCGAAAAGCUCGGGGGAGCUGACAAACAAGUAUUGAUCCCGAGAUACCCUAGCUAACGUGGUGAACUGAAACAUCUCAGUAACCACAGGAAGAGAAAGAAAAAUCGAUUUCGUAAGUAGCGGCGAGCGAAAGCGAAAUAGCCCAAACCGUGGGGGUUUCCCUCGCGGGGUUGUAGGGUCUUUCACAUGAGAGUCACAAAAUUGCUUGCUAGUAGAACGCUUUGGAAAGGGCGACCACAGAGGGUGACAGUCCCGUACACGAAAGCGAGCAAUCUCUCGAAGGAUACCUGAGUAGGUCGGGCCACGUGGAAUCCCGACUGAACCUACGGGGACCAUCCCGUAAGGCUAAAUACUAC